RNAcentral lists this ribosomal RNA (31 nucleotides) under Filobasidium magnum. RNAcentral describes it as "partial 28S ribosomal RNA". The record is from RNAcentral. Lineage: Eukaryota; Fungi; Basidiomycota; Tremellomycetes; Filobasidiales; Filobasidiaceae.
AUCUGGCCUCAAAUCAAGUAGGACUACCCGC